AAGGGAAACGAUUGAAGUCAGUCGUACCUGCGGGUAAUCAGCCUUUUGGGCAUGAUUCUGUGGAGCGUGAGGAGUUAAACGCCUUCAUGCCUGCAUAUUCGUGUACUUUGGGUGUACUUGCCUGUGUGGUUAGUUAACAUCAAUUUUGGUUAUCAUAGAAUGGCUGGAGGAAUGUAGCUUCGAUUUCGAUUGAAGCGUUAUAGACUUCGGCAGAUGUGAUGAUCGGGAUUGAGGAUUGCAACGGAUACCCUUCGGGGCUACCUGUCUGAUCUCUGAUCGUUGCUCUGGUGCCGAAAGCGUGCUUACGGUUAUCAAAGUCGAUGGUCAAUAGGUUAGAAUGGGUUAAAUUCGUUAAGGAUGUUGACGUA
This 368-nucleotide ribosomal RNA is filed under the name uncultured Glomeromycotina. RNAcentral's name for it is "eukaryotic LSU rRNA". Lineage: Eukaryota; Fungi; Glomeromycota. The record is from RNAcentral.